This 497-nucleotide ribosomal RNA is filed under the name uncultured bacterium. RNAcentral's name for it is "partial 16S ribosomal RNA". It matches the Rfam family "Bacterial small subunit ribosomal RNA", at positions 28 to 507 of the family's 1533-position model. The record is from RNAcentral.
GAUGAACGCUGGCGGCGUGCCUAAUACAUGCAAGUCGAGCGAACAGAUGAGGAGCUUGCUCCUCUGACGUUAGCGGCGGACGGGUGAGUAACACGUGGAUAACCUACCUAUAAGACUGGGAUAACUUCGGGAAACCGGAGCUAAUACCGGAUAAUAUAUUGAACCGCAUGGUUCAGUAGUGAAAGACGGUUUUGCUGUCACUUAUAGAUGGAUCCGCGCCGCAUUAGCUAGUUGGUAAGGUAACGGCUUACCAAGGCAACGAUGCGUAGCCGACCUGAGAGGGUGAUCGGCCACAUUAGAGGUGAGACGCGGUCCAGACUCCUACGGGAGGCAGCAGUAGGGAAUCGUCCGCAAUGGGCGAAAGCCUGACGGAGCAACGCCGAGUGAGUGAUGAAGGUCUUCGGAGCGUAAAACUCUGUUAUUAGGGAAGAACAAAUGUGUAAGUAACUAUGCACGUCUUGACGGUACCUAAUCAGAAAGCCACGGCUAACUACGUG